This 337-nucleotide ribosomal RNA is filed under the name uncultured bacterium. RNAcentral describes it as "bacterial SSU rRNA". It matches the Rfam family "Bacterial small subunit ribosomal RNA", at positions 1 to 334 of the family's 1533-position model. The record is from RNAcentral.
GUGAGUAGUUCAGAGUUUGAUCCUGGCUCAGAACGAACGCUGGCGGCGCGUCUUAAGCAUGCAAGUCGAACGAAUGGAACCCUCGGGUUCCGGAAGUGGCGGACGGGUGAGUAACACGUGGGUAAUCUGCCCCCCGGUGGGGAAUAGCACAUGGAAACAUGUGAUAAUACCGCAUGAGACGGCCCAGCACAAGCGGGGUCGGGAAAGGUCCUACGGGACCGCCGGGGGAUGAGCCCGCGGCCCAUUAGCUAGUUGGCGGGGUAAAGGCCCACCAAGGCGACGAUGGGUAGCCGGACUGAGAGGUUGAACGGCCACAUUGGGAUUGAGAACGGCCCAG